CACGCACGAGGGGAAGCAGUAUCCGAUUCCGAUCGAGAUGGUGGAUGGUGCGACGGAGGUGAAAAUCCGUGAUCUUCCGCCAGGAAUCCCCGACGAAAACGUUUCCGCUGAGCUGAACCGCUUCGGUGAAGUGCUCACUCCCAAGUAGCAGAGCCGAAGUUGUUCAGAGGUUUUUCUGUGUGCCAAAGCGAGAUGCCCUGUCUUCUGUCUCUAGAUUUUGGACAGCAAACCGCCGCGCGUGUAGAGGUGUGUGCGUGUGACGAAAAAUGAUGGAUGAAAAACGCGAGGAGCGGGGUCUGAAGUCUUUCAUUGGUCACACACACACAUGCAUCUACCAGCAGAUUGCGCUACACCGAGUCUACCCAUCUCUCUCGAUCUACCAUGAUUUUUUCUGCUAUCGCACUCAUCCGGGAGUUAGGCAUCCUCAGUCUGUCCAGAACUUUCGUUGUGGAAGGAUGUGCGGGAGUGAUGCGCGAUUUCUUGUGUCCCCUACUUUCCUUGUUUACGUUUUGCGCAGUGUUGCCUCUUAUUCCAUUGUGGAAUGAUUUAUCCUAGCUAACUUGUUGAGGUAAGGUUCUUGAUCUCAUAUGUGCUUCAAUGUACUAAUUCAACUAAUGCUUAUCGUCUUCAAAGUUACAGGUGCAUGCGCCAUUCUUCAACGCCUACCUGUUGGCAUCAUCAACAAUCUUCAAAGUGGGUGACGGAAAGAAAUUGUUUUCCAGUUUUAAAAUAUUAAGCGUUCAGCACAACUCAGCCACAAAACAACGCACUGGAUUGCGCUAAGAACCUGUCGAAACGCGCGCAGCCCCCGGGAGCGGUAGGAGAAAGGAAGAACUAGAGGAGGAAAAACUAAAGCCAGCACGCAGCUCUGAUGGUACCCCGUACGCGGAAGGGGGAGACCGUUCUGCCGUCUACACAGUGUGAGUAUGCCAAAGCACGUGUUGGAAGGGAGAGAAAAAGUUGGAAUAAACCGCAUGCGAAUGUGUGCAUACAGCAAAAGUAAA
Molecule: long non-coding RNA, 1004 nt
Organism: Anopheles gambiae (African malaria mosquito)
Lineage: Eukaryota; Metazoa; Arthropoda; Insecta; Diptera; Culicidae
Exons: 2
Source: RefSeq, a predicted model, not a curated record